UGCAGCUGUAGUGACAAUCUCAGAGCAGCUUCUACACCACAGCCAUUUCCAGCAUGAAGAUCACUGGGGGUCUCCUUCUGCUCUGUACAGUGGUCUAUUUCUGUAGCAGCUCAGGUGGACUGCAGCAUUUACAAGAAGUAUCCAGUGGUGGCCAUCCCCUGCCCCAUCACAUACCUACCAGUUUGUGGUUCUGACUACAUCACCUAUGGGAAUGAAUGUCACUUGUGUACCGAGAGCUUGAAAAGUAAUGGAAGAGUUCAGUUUCUUCACGAUGGAAGUUGCUAAAUUCUCCAUGGACAUAGAGAGAAAGGAAUGAUAUUCUCAUCAUCAUCUUCAUCAUCCCAGGCUCUGACUGAGUUUCUUUCAGUUUUACUGAUGUUCUGGGUGGGGGACAGAGCCAGAUUCAGAGUAAUCUUGACUGAAUGGAGAAAGUUUCUGUGCUACCCCUACAAACCCAUGCCUCACUGACAGACCAGCAUUUUUUUUUUAACACGUCAAUAAAAAAAUAAUCUCCCAGAAAGUUUAUCUUUGCUUCUGUU
This 539-nucleotide long non-coding RNA is filed under the name Homo sapiens (human). RNAcentral's name for it is "HSALNT0330127". Lineage: Eukaryota; Metazoa; Chordata; Mammalia; Primates; Hominidae. The record is from RNAcentral.